This 560-nucleotide ribosomal RNA is filed under the name Serratia sp. N12-3. RNAcentral's name for it is "bacterial SSU rRNA". It matches the Rfam family "Bacterial small subunit ribosomal RNA", at positions 137 to 692 of the family's 1533-position model. Lineage: Bacteria; Pseudomonadati; Pseudomonadota; Gammaproteobacteria; Enterobacterales; Yersiniaceae. The record is from RNAcentral.
AGGGGGAUAACUACUGGAAACGGUAGCUAAUACCGCAUAANGUCUACGGACCAAAGUGGGGGACCUUCGGGCCUCAUGCCAUCAGAUGUGCCCAGAUGGGAUUAGCUAGUAGGUGGGGUAAUGGCUCACCUAGGCGACGAUCCCUAGCUGGUCUGAGAGGAUGACCAGCCACACUGGAACUGAGACACGGUCCAGACUCCUACGGGAGGCAGCAGUGGGGAAUAUUGCACAAUGGGCGCAAGCCUGAUGCAGCCAUGCCGCGUGUGUGAAGAAGGCCUUCGGGUUGUAAAGCACUUUCAGCGAGGAGGAAGGGUAGUGUGUUAAUAGCACAUUGCAUUGACGUUACUCGCAGAAGAAGCACCGGCUAACUCCGUGCCAGCAGCCGCGGUAAUACGGAGGGUGCAAGCGUUAAUCGGAAUUACUGGGCGUAAAGCGCACGCAGGCGGUUUGUUAAGUCAGAUGUGAAAUCCCCGCGCUUAACGUGGGAACUGCAUUUGAAACUGGCAAGCUAGAGUCUUGUAGAGGGGGGUAGAAUUCCAGGUGUAGCGGUGAAAUGCGUA